RNAcentral lists this ribosomal RNA (836 nucleotides) under uncultured Micrococcineae bacterium. RNAcentral's name for it is "bacterial SSU rRNA". It matches the Rfam family "Bacterial small subunit ribosomal RNA", at positions 61 to 912 of the family's 1533-position model. Lineage: Bacteria; Bacillati; Actinomycetota; Actinomycetes; Micrococcales. The record is from RNAcentral.
GUCGAGCGAUGAAGCACCUUCGGGUGUGAAUUAGCGGCGAACGGGUGAGGAACACGUGAAGAAUCUGCCUUCAACUCUGGGAUAACUCCGGGAAACCGGGGCUAAUACCGGAUAUGAGCCUUGAUCGCAUGAUCGGGGCUGGAAAGUUUUUCGGUUGAAGAUGACUUCGCGGCCUAUCAGCUUGUUGGUGAGGUAAUGGCUCACCAAGGCGACGACGGGUAGCCGGCCUGAGAGGGCGACCGGCCACACUGGGACUGAGACACGGCCCAGACUCCUACGGGAGGCAGCAGUGGGGAAUAUUGGGCAAUGGAGGAAACUCUGACCCAGCGACGCCGCGUGAGGGAUGAAGGCCUUCGGGUUGUAAACCUCUUUCAGUAGGGAAGAAGCGAAAGUGACGGUACCUACAGAAGAAGCACCGGCUAACUAUGUGCCAGCAGCCGCGGUAAUACAUAGGGUGCAAGCGUUGUCCGGAAUUAUUGGGCGUAAAGAGCUCGUAGGUGGUUCGAUACGUCGGAUGUGAAAAUCAGGGGCUCAACCCCUGACCUGCAUCCGAUACGGUCGAGCUAGAGUUUGGUAGGGGAGACUGGAAUUCCUGGUGUAGCGGUGGAAUGCGCAGAUAUCAGGAGGAACACCGAUGGCGAAGGCAGGUCUCUGGGCCAAUACUGACACUGAGGAGCGAAAGCGUGGGGAGCGAACAGGAUUAGAUACCCUGGUAGUCCACGCCGUAAACGGUGGGCGCUAGUUGUGCGAACCUUCCACGGUUUGUGCGACGCAGCUAACGCAUUAAGCGCCCCGCCUGGGGAGUACGAUCGCAAGAUUAAAACUCAAAUGAAUUG